GAUUUCAACAUACGAAUUUUGGGAAAACACAAACACUCAGAUCACACAAUUGAGGAGAAACCAGUGAAAACUAACUUUCAUGAGAAUGAAAAGGAAGAGGAAUUUGUCCGAGAAACAAGCCUUGAGGUCUUAAAAACCCUGGACCCACUGGUCAUUGGAAUGCCUCAGGUGCUAUGGCCAAGGAUCCUGACUUUUGUGGUACCUGCAGAAUACACAGAAGCUCUGGAGCCCCUGUUUAGUAUCAUCAGAAUUCUCAUUAUGGCAGAGGAGAAGAAGAAGCACAGUGCCAAGGAGUCGACAGCACUUGUCAUCUCUACGGGAGCUGGUCUGUACAUUCAUAAACACAGAAAACUUUUCUAUUAUGAGGGAUCUAUUUCCAGGAAGGCUACAGUGCUUUGACCUUAAACCCAACCCCAAUCUCUAACCCCUACAGUGAUGAUGAAAAUUGCUUUCUCUUUCUAGUGAAACUUCCUUCACCACAGCAGCUACUGGCCAGACUUCUGGUAAUAUCCAUGCCUGCCAGUUUAGGGGAGUUACGUGGGGCUGGUGCAAUAGGGCUUUUGAAGUUACUGCCUGAGAUAAUUCACCCAAAAUUGGUAGACCUAUGGAAAACACGUUUACCUGAGCUUCUGCAGCCUCUGGAAGGAAAGAAUAUCAGUACCGUUCUAUGGGAAACCAUGCUGCUUCAGUUGCUCAAAGAAUCCUUACGGAAGAUCAGUGAUGUGGCCUGGACCAUUCAGCUGACUCAGGAUUUCAAACAGCAAAUGGGCAGUUACAGCAACACCUCCAUUGAGAAGAAAUUCCUUUGGAAAGCCUUGGGAACCACCUUAGCAUCCUGCCAAGAUUCAGACUUUGUAAACUCACAGAUUAAGGAGUUUCUGACUGCUCCCAACCAACUGGGGGAUCAAAGACAGGGAAUAACAUCUAUUUUAGGAUACUGUGCCGAGAACCAUUUGGAUAUUGUUUUAAAAGUUCUUAAAACAUUCCAAAAUCAGGAAAAGUUUUUCAUGAAUCGAUGUAAGAGCCUUUUUUCUGGGAAAAAGAGCCUGACCAAGACAGAUGUCAUGGUCAUCUACGGAGCUGUGGCCCUCCAUGCUCCCAAGAAGCAACUUCUCUCCAGACUUAAUCAAGAUAUCGUAUCGCAAGUCCUGUUUCUUCACGGCCAGUGCUCUCAGGUUCUGGGCAUGUCUGUGAUGAACAAGGACAUGGAUCUGCAAAUGAGUUUCACAAGAAGCAUCACUGAGAUUGGCAUUGCUGUCCAAGAUGCUGGGGAUCAGGGGUUCCAGUUUUCCUACAAGGAGAUGCUGAUUGGUUACAUGCUGGACUUCAUUAGAGGCGAGCCCCUGGAUUCCUUAGCUAGCCCUAUUCGGUGGAAAGCCUUAAUCGCCAUUAGAUAUCUCAGUAAACUGAAACCUCAGCUCUCACUACAAGACCACCUUAACAUUCUUGAGGAGAAUAUUCGGAGGCUGCUGCCCCUUCCACCUCUGGAAAAUCUGAAAAGUGAAGGCCAGACAGACAAGGACAAGGAGCACAUUCAAUUUCUCUAUGAACGAUCCAUGGAUGCCCUAGGAAAACUUCUGAAGACCAUGAUGUGGGAUAAUGUGAAUGCAGAGGACUGUCAAGAAAUGUUUAAUCUUCUCCGAAUGUGGCUUGUUUCACAAAAAGAGUGGGAAAGAGAAAGAGCCUUCCAGAUCACCGCGAAAGUGCUGACAAAUGAUAUUGAGGCACCAGAGAACUUCAAAAUCGGUUCACUGCUUGGACUCCUGGCUCCUCACUCCUGUGAUACCCUGCCUACCAUCCGUCAGGCGGCUGCUAGCUCAACUAUUGGUCUGUUCUAUAUAAAAGGCAUUCACUUGGAAGUGGAAAGACUGCAGGGUUUGCAGGAAGGGCUGGAAAGUGAUGACGUGCAGGUUCAGAUCAAGAUUUCUUCUAAAAUAGCUAAGAUUGUCAGUAAAUUCAUCCCAAAUGAAGAAAUUCUGAUGUUCCUAGAGGAAAUGCUGGAUGGUCUGGAGAGCCUCAACCCCACUUGCACAAAGGCCUGUGGCAUAUGGAUGAUCACUGUCCUGAAGGAGCAGGGAGCUGCUCUGGAAGAUCAGCUAUUGGAGAUCUUAGGCACAAUUUACCAUCACAUGCCAGUCCUCAGACAAAAAGAAGAAAGUUUUCAGUUCAUGCUAGAAGCCAUCUCCCAGAUAGCCAGCUUUCACAUGGAUAUAGUUGUUGUCAACCUUUUACAGAAGCCUCUGCCCUUCGACAGGGACACAAAGACAUUGUGGAAGGCGCUGGCUGAAAAGCCAGCCUCCAGUGGAAAACUCUUGCAAGCCUUAAUAGACAAACUGGAGACUGAGUUAGAAGAUGACAUCGCCAGGGUUGAGGCCAUUUCAGUGGCCUGUGCUAUGUAUGAAGUGAUCUCAAUGGGCACCUCUGUCACCGGCUUGUAUCCAGAGCUGUUCACUCUCCUCCUGAAGCUGGUUAGCUGCACACUGGGCCAGAAGAUGCCCACUUCUCCCUGGAGCCGUAGGCGGCAUGUGAUGCAGCAGGGAGAACAGCAACAGAUCCCAGACCCCUGCAGGCUUUCAACUGCUACUUUAAAAUGUUUGCAAGCCCAAGCCAUGAGAGAAGGCCUUGCAAAGGAAUCUGAUGAGGGGGACAACUUAUGGACUCUACUCAGCAGUCCUAGUACCCAUCACAUAGGCGUAUGUUCACUGGCCAGGAGCGUGGCAGUGUGGCAACACGGAGUCAUAUUGGACAUCAUGGAACAGCUGCUCUCAUCUCUCACCUCCUCCUCGGAGAACUACCGGAUAACCGGCACAGCUUUCUUCUCUGAGUUUGCAGAAGGCAGAGAAAGGGGGAUAAUAAAUCUGUGAGGGAUGAAACAAAGCAUUGUAGCACUGACGCUUCAAAUUCCGGCCUAAAAACUAUUCCAGCCAAUCCAGAGAAGGAAAACUAUCAGUCAUUCCUGUUUUCCCUGCCCCAUUUUCCAUUGAGACUAGACAUCUGUUAUGCAGCUCAUGAAGGAGCCAAUCCUUUGGAAGCAUGGGAAUCUGCGAGAUGUGCUGAUCUUGAUGGAUCAAAGUGCCUGGGACUCCAACGCCACUCUGAGGCAGAUGGCCAUCCGAGGGCUUGGCAACACAGCAUCUGGGGCUCCUCACAAGGUGAAGAAACAUAAGCAGUUAAUGCUAGAAUCUAUCAUCAAAGGCCUGUAUCACCUGGCUCGCACUGAAGUCGUCUGUGAAAGCUUGAAGGCUCUAAAAAAAAUCCUGGAGCUGCUGACAGACCGAGAUGUGAGCUUCUACUUCAAGGAAAUAGUGCUGCAAACAAGGACCUUCUUUGAAGAUGAGCAGGAUGAUGUGAGAUUGACUGCCAUCUUCUUAUUUGAGGACCUGGCAUCCCUAACAGGAAGAAGGUGGAAGAUUUUUUUUGCUGAAGAAGUAAAAAAGAGCCUGAUUUCAUUCCUUCUGCACCUUUGGGAUCCCAACCCCAAGAUUGGAGUUGCUUGCCGUGAUGUCUUGAUGGUCUGCAUUCCCUUUUUGGGCCUCCAGGAACUCUACGGGGUAUUAGACCAUCUCCUUGAUCAGGAUCUACCAAGGGCCAGGGAUUUCUAUAGGCAAUUCUGUGUGAAACUGGCCAAGAAAAACCAGGAAAUUCUGUGGAUCCUCCACACACACUCCUUCACCUUCUUCACCAGCAGCUGGGAGGUGAUCAGGAGUGCAGCUGUCAAACUCACAGAUGCCGUUGUUCUCAAUUUGACCAGCCAAUAUGUGGAGUUAUUAGACAGAGAACAACUGACCACACGGCUGCAAGCACUUCGUCAAGAUCCGUGUGUUAGUGUCCAGAGAGCAGCUGAGGCUGCUUUGCAGACCCUCCUGAGAAGGUGUAAAGAGACAAGCAUUCCUCUGUAAGCCAUCAAGAAAUAAACUGCUGGCUUUUCCUA
This 3931-nucleotide small RNA is filed under the name Pongo abelii (Sumatran orangutan). Its description in RNAcentral is "retained intron". Lineage: Eukaryota; Metazoa; Chordata; Mammalia; Primates; Hominidae. The record is from RNAcentral.